RNAcentral lists this ribosomal RNA (740 nucleotides) under uncultured archaeon. RNAcentral's name for it is "bacterial SSU rRNA". It matches the Rfam family "Archaeal small subunit ribosomal RNA", at positions 1 to 750 of the family's 1478-position model. The record is from RNAcentral.
UUCCGGUUGAUCCUGCCGGACCCGACUGCUAUCAGAGUGGGACUAAGCCAUGCGAGUCAACGUAGCAAUACGUGGCAUACGGCUCAGUAACACGUAGUCAACAUGCCCAGGGGACGAGGAUAACCUCGGGAAACCGAGGAUAAACCUCGAUAGGCCAUGAUUUCUGGAAUGAUUCUUGGCUCAAACCUAUAUGGCCCCUGGAUUGGACUGCGGCCGAUCAGGCUGUUGGUGAGGUAAUGGCCCACCAAACCUAUUACCGGUACGGGCUCUGAGAGGAGGAGCCCGGAGAUGGGCACUGAGACAAGGGCCCAGGCCCUAUGGGGCGCAGCAGGCGCGAAACCUCUGCAAUAGGCGAAAGCUUGACAGGGUUACUCUGAGUGAUUUCCGCUAAGGGAAUCUUUUGGCACCUCUAAAAAUGGUGCAGAAUAAGGGGUGGGCAAGUCUGGUGUCAGCCGCCGCGGUAAUACCAGCACCCCGAGUGGUCGGGACGAUUAUUGGGCCUAAAGCAUCCGUAGCCGGUCCUGCAAGUCUUCCGUUAAAUCCAGCUGCUCAACAGAUGGGCUGCGGGAGAUACUACAGGGCUAGGAGGCGGGAGAGGCAAGCGGUACUUUAUGGGUAGGGGUAAAAUCCGCUGAUCCAUAGAAGACCACCAGUGGCGAAGGCGGCUUGCCAGAACGCGCUCGACGGUGAGGGAUGAAAGCUGGGGGAGCAAACCGGAUUAGAUACCCGGGUAGUCCCAG